UCCUUUUUCUAAUCAGUGAAACUAAUCUUCCCGUGAAGAAGCGGGAAUAUCCCCAUAAGACGAGAAGACCCCAUGGAGCUUCAAACCCAAUUACACCCCUAACCCCUAUAACUACUUAACCCUUAGGAUUCUGUAUUAUUGGUUUUAGGUUGGGGCGACCACGGAGUACAACAAAACCUCCACAAUGAACGGAACUACUUCCUCAUCUGAGAGCUACACCUCUAAGAAUUAAAAUAUUAACAUAAAAUGAUCCAUUUUUGAUCAAUGAACCAAGUUACCCUGGGGAUAACAGCGCAAUCCAUUUCAAGAGCCCCUAUCGACAAAUGGG
Molecule: ribosomal RNA, 328 nt
Filed under: Mantidactylus katae
Lineage: Eukaryota; Metazoa; Chordata; Amphibia; Anura; Mantellidae
Description: partial 16S ribosomal RNA
Rfam family: Bacterial large subunit ribosomal RNA
Source: RNAcentral